RNAcentral lists this ribosomal RNA (723 nucleotides) under uncultured Chthoniobacteraceae bacterium. RNAcentral describes it as "bacterial SSU rRNA". It matches the Rfam family "Bacterial small subunit ribosomal RNA", at positions 94 to 803 of the family's 1533-position model. The record is from RNAcentral. Lineage: Bacteria; Pseudomonadati; Verrucomicrobiota; Spartobacteria; Chthoniobacterales; Chthoniobacteraceae.
AGUGGCGAAAGGGUGCGUAACACGUGGGCAAUCUACCGAGAAGUGGGGCAUAGCUCGCCGAAAGGCGAAUUAAUACCGCAUGUGACCCUGGGUAACCUUACCUGGGCGUUAAAGCCGGGGCAACCUGGCGCUUUUUGAUGAGCCCGCGGCCUAUCAGCUAGUUGGUGAGGUAACGGCUCACCAAGGCUAUGACGGGUAGCUGGUCUGAGAGGACGACCAGCCACACUGGAACUGAGACACGGUCCAGACACCUACGGGUGGCAGCAGUCGAGAAUUUUUCACAAUGGGGGAAACCCUGAUGGAGCGACGCCGCGUGGAGGAUGAAGGCCUUCGGGUUGUAAACUCCUGUCAUUGGUGAACAAGGCAGGCCGGGUAACUCCGUGCCUGUUUGCUAGUAGCCGAAGAGGAAGGGACGGCUAACUCUGUGCCAGCAGCCGCGGUAAUACAGAGGUCCCAAGCGUUGUUCGGAUUUAUUGGGCGUAAAGGGUGCGUAGGCGGCGGAGUAAGUUGGGUGUGAAAUCCCGGGGCUCAACCUCGGAAUUGCAUUCAAUACUGCUUCGCUCGAGUACUGGAGAGGAGACUGGAAUUUACGGUGUAGCAGUGAAAUGCGUAGAUAUCGUAAGGAAGGCCGGUGGCGAAAGCGAGUCUCUGGACAGUUACUGACGCUGAUGCACGAAGGCCAGGGGAGCAAACGGGAUUAGAUACCCCGGUAGUCCUGGCAGU